UUUUAAAUGGCCGCAGUAUUUUGACUGUGCAAAGGUAGCAUAAUCAUUAGUUUUUUAAUUAAAAGCUUGUAUGAAAGGCUGGACGAGGUAAAAUCUGUCUCUAUCUAAAUUAUAGUAGAAUUUAACUUUUAAGUUAAAAGGCUUAAAUAUUAUUAAAAGACGAGAAGACCCUAUAGAUCUUUAUAGCUUAUUAAAUUAAAUUAAUUUAGAAAUAUUAAUGUUUUAUUUAACUAAGGUAUUUUAUUGGGGUAAUAAAAAGAUUAAAUAAAUUCUUUUUUAUAAUAAACAUUAAUUUAUGAAUAUUAAUGAUCCAGUUUUACUGAUUAUAAGAUUAAGUUACCUUAGGGAUAACAGCGUAAUUUUUUUAGAGAGUUCAUAUCGAUAAAAAAGUUUGCGACCUCGAUGUUGGAUUAAAGAUUAUUUUAGGUGUAGAAGCUUAAUAAUUUUGGUCUGUUCGACCAUUAAAUCUUUACAUGAUCUGAGUUCAGACCGGCGUAAGCCAGGUCGGUUUCUAUCUUUAAUAAAAUAAAAUAUUUUAGUACGAAAGGACCAAAUAUUUAAUAUAUUUAUAUUUAAUUUAUUGAAUAUUA
Molecule: ribosomal RNA, 590 nt
Filed under: Carabus dufouri
Lineage: Eukaryota; Metazoa; Arthropoda; Insecta; Coleoptera; Carabidae
Also listed under: 1 other name
Description: partial large subunit ribosomal RNA
Rfam family: Bacterial large subunit ribosomal RNA
Source: RNAcentral